UUUGUUGAAUGAAUGGAUGAGUUUGAGGCAGGAUUCGCUGUUUCUCCUGACCUUUGCUGACAUGUCUGAACGUAGGCAGUCUCCUCGUGGCCCCAGUGUGUCUGCUGAUAAGUUCCUGUAAGAGACUGCCCUCUUGUUGACGCAUCAAGUCAUCGCUUUCUCCUGGCAGCAUCUCUCCCUCAUAGCCCUUGUUAGCGUUCAGGCAUCUGUACUGGCCUGCCCUUGGGAUUCCGACAGAUUACGCCCUCAGCUGCAGCCGCUAAGAGCACCACCUAAACACACAGCCUCCCGUAGCCUCGGUGACUUCAAGAACGAUCGCGUCACGGCUGCAGUAGCAGCCAUCCCAGUGGGCUGGUGGAGAAUCAAAGCGGCUGAAGGACGUGCCGGGCCCGUGGUCUGAAAAGUGCCACAAUUCUCCUUCCAGACAGCAGGAGUCAGCGUGGAAACCCAGCUCGACCGCCGGCAGCAGGGCGUUCACUUUUCCCAGGCUUCUGUUUCUGCAUUCACUAACACCUGCUUUUAGGAGCUCAGUGGAAUUAUGUGAGCAAAAAGCAUCAUAAAUACAGUCCACAAACAACCUCUUCCCUUUCCCAGCUUCCUGAGGCAGAUGUUUGAAAUGGCGAUGUCAUCAUUCUCAGUCCGUCGUUAAGAUGCUCAUAGUCUGGGCGGGGUUGGGGAGGGGUAUUCUGAUCCGACUGUGUCACAGUAGAGUCUCUGGGGACAGGUUCCCUGUCUCCAGGCCUCUGUUAACUUUUCUCUGUGACUGGGCCUGCCUGAAAUAGGCUGGGAAUUAGGCUGGAAGGAGCCGUGUGUGGACUGUUUGGCACAGCACCUGCGCUUGGUUGGUCUUCUGAGGGUAUUAAUUACCGACGUCUCUCAGAAAGAUCAGAGAGUGGGAUUCGAGGCCCGGGUAAGAGCUGCAGCAGAGAGGGCGAUACAGAGGCCUUCUCGGUGCACACAGCCAGGCCGCUGCCCACCUGUCUGCCUAACCCCUGCUGCAGACACAAAGCCGCAACCUCUGGACUUCACAGGGUCAUCAGAAGAGGAAGCUGCCAGUCCACGGCCCUGUCUGCAAACAUGGCUGCCUUUCUCAUCCCUUUGAAGUUGGUGCCCGAGGACACAGAAGCAUUUCUCCACGGCACAAUUACAAUGAAGGAGAUGUAAGUCUCUCACGGGUGGGAAUGGGCACGUCCAUCCCAGACCACACAAAGCAGGGUUGGCAGCUUUCCGGGCCAAGGCGGGAAGCAGGAGCAUGGAUGCCAGGGAAGUCGGAGGCCUGUCCCUACCCUCUGCAAUGGCUUUGGUAUUCUACCAGCAUCCUCUGGUUUGGAAAACGUGAUUGUGCCUUGAUCUCAACCAGAAGUUCCCUUUGGUCCUGCUGGUUGCAGAAGACAGCAGAGCCUCCGUGUUCCACCAGUGGUCCCAUUCCUCGGGGCCACAGUGGCCAAUUCUAGCUUCAUUGUCACGACCUGUUCUCCGGGACCUGCCUUUCUAUACCCGUACCUUUCCCGAGGCACUGCAAAGCUCUCCUCUCUCUCUAGGCUUGCCGUCCCUCGCCAUUUCAGUGAGAGGUGGCGUUCCCCCCACCCCUCAAAGUUUAAUAUUGUGUUUCUCUCAAAAAUGAGCGUGGGCUUCAGACUCAGACAGAGCCACUUAAAAGCCCGUGACCUUCACCGUGUGCCUCCAUUUUUUAUCUAAGAAAGAAAAUGGAUGAGAGUAAUCCUCCCAGGGGGGAUGCUGACUGUUAGAAUUGCAUGAGAUCACAUGUGGACGCACUUAGAUGAUCAAUAUGUAUUUCCUCCCCUUCCCUUUACUACUCAAACACCACUGCCUCGUUUGUGGGUCUCUAGACCACAUUUUCCUGGCUCUGUGUAAGCCCAGGGUCCUUGAAAGCAAGUGCUUUUUCUUAAGCUUG
Molecule: long non-coding RNA, 1915 nt
Organism: Mesocricetus auratus (golden hamster)
Lineage: Eukaryota; Metazoa; Chordata; Mammalia; Rodentia; Cricetidae
Exons: 3
Source: RefSeq, a predicted model, not a curated record